This is a long non-coding RNA of Cervus elaphus (red deer), 1427 nucleotides long. RefSeq lists it as uncharacterized. The transcript is spliced from 2 exons. NCBI's taxonomy places the organism in Eukaryota, Metazoa, Chordata, Mammalia, Artiodactyla, Cervidae. The record is from RefSeq and is a predicted model, not a curated record.
UUCCUUCAUUUACCCCACCUCGUUACCUACGUGGCUGACCCAAAUUCAAAGCAUUUUGUGUGUGUAUAUAUAUAUUUUUUCUUUUCUGCUAUGUCUUUUUUUUUGGGGGGGGGGGGUGGAGAAAUCCUCUCUAGAGCCGUAAGCGGAUCGGCCACACGGAGGAAACAUUUGGGGGCUCAGGAAGAAAUUAGCGCAGCUCCAUACCUGUACGGACUACAUAACUCUUAAACUACUGGACUCAAAGGAUCCACAUACACACAGGUAACAGGAAAUACAGCCAGACCAAAGCCUUUUCAGACCCGAGCAGACCGGAAGACGUUGCCUUUCAUUCAUUCAUUCUGCCCGCGUCUGUGGAGUCCUUUACUAGGCGAGAAGCCCUAGAAGAGAAGUUGGACAUUUUUUAAAGGUCCCUGCGCUCUCCAAGAAGAGGAAAUAGAUGCUCAGGAGUGAACUACCGAGAGAAUCGGAUCUGGCGCCUCCUAACGCAGCUGGCAAAAAUGCGAAGGAUGUGGGAUCUUAGUUCACAAAUCAGGAAUUGAACCCCACAGCCCCUGCAGUGGAAGGCAAAAUCUUCAACACUGGACCACCAGAGAAGGCUCUCAGAUUUGUUUUAAAAAACUUUUUGCUAGUUGCUGUUACAGAAUGGCUUUAAAAGCAGAGACAUCAGGGAGCAGUUUACUGCAGACCUCUCGGCAGGCAAUGGUAGCCUGGCUAAGAUGGAAGAGGCGAUGCUGGCCACAAGAGCUGAGAUUUUAAGAAAAUGUGGGUUUCCUAAUGGAUUAGAUGUAGUAGGAAAAGGGCACAGUGAGGGGAAGCAAGGACCCAGGGGUGACUCCUAGGGUGAGCAGCACCCCAAUUUCCCCUUCUCUAGGGUCUCUGGAGAGAACCACAGAACCGCAUUGCACUUGACAGUCUGUUCCUGGGAUGCUGGGCAUUUUUAUGUGAUUAGGCUGGAAUAGUUCUCUGGGAAAUAAAUGCCCUCAGUCUAAAAGGCUUUUACAAGCCAAGGCAGGGGAUUAAAGGCGGCCAGGCUGAGGAGAAAUUCCAAGGUCAGGAGACAGCUGGGCAUGGAGACUUUUAAUCUAAACCUUAAACGUUUUUAUUUUUCACUCCCUGAACCCAGGGUGUCACUUUAAAUACGUGUUUGGCAACAUCGGCUGUUCUAUUUUUCUUUUUAAUUAUACAAAAAGAGAUCCUGGAAACAGCUCAGCCCCCAGGCUGGGGGAGGCGAGGAAAGUCUGGCAACAGUUGGAGGAGGCAGACACCAGCUAAAAAUUGAGUGGAUCGAAGUCCCUUUGAAGGCGAAUGGAGACUCUACCCUGAACUCAGUGGGGGGAGCCCUGACUCAGGGUUUCUAAAAGGAGACUGACAGUCACCAGCUUAGCAUGGAGAGAUGACAGAUGGACAAAUCUGCAAGAUAAAAAUAU